This 242-nucleotide ribosomal RNA is filed under the name uncultured bacterium. RNAcentral's name for it is "partial 16S ribosomal RNA". It matches the Rfam family "Bacterial small subunit ribosomal RNA", at positions 118 to 345 of the family's 1533-position model. The record is from RNAcentral.
GGGGUAACCUGCCUCAAAGAGGGGAUAGCCUCCCCGAAAGGGGAGAUUAAUACCGCAUAAUAUGUUUAGGUCGCAUGACUUUAACAUCAAAGGAUUUUUCUUUUAGAAAUUCCACUUUGAGAUGGACCCGCGGUGCAUUAGCUAGUUGGUGAGGUAACGGCUCACCAAGGCAACGAUGCGUAGCCGACCUGAGAGGGUGAUUGGCCACAUUGGAACUGAGACACGGUCCAGACUCCGUAGGG